CUCCCCGUAGUACAAUGGAUAGUACGAGCGCCUCCUAAGCGCUAGAUUCAGGUUCGAUUCCUGACGGGGAGGCCA
RNAcentral lists this transfer RNA (75 nucleotides) under Alphaproteobacteria bacterium CG_4_10_14_0_8_um_filter_53_9. Its description in RNAcentral is "tRNA-Arg". It matches the Rfam family "tRNA". From Rfam's summary of the family: Transfer RNA (tRNA) molecules are approximately 80 nucleotides in length. Their secondary structure includes four short double-helical elements and three loops (D, anti-codon, and T loops). Lineage: Bacteria; Pseudomonadati; Pseudomonadota; Alphaproteobacteria. The record is from RNAcentral.